UUGAACGCUGGCGGCAUGCUUUACACAUGCAAGUCGAACGGCAGCACGGGGGCAACCCUGGUGGCGAGUGGCGAACGGGUGAGUAAUAUAUCGGAACAUAUCCGGGAGUGGGAGAUAACGUAGCGAAAGUUACGCUAAUACCGCAUAUGCCCCGAGGGGGAAAGGGGGGGAUCGCAAGACCUCUCGCUUUCGGAGUGGCCGAUAUCGGAUUAGCUAGUUGGUGGGGUAAAGGCCCACCAAGGCGACGAUCCGUAGCUGGUCUGAGAGGACGACCAGCCACACUGGAACUGAGACACGGUCCAGACUCCUACGGGAGGCAGCAGUGGGGAAUUUUGGACAAUGGGCGCAAGCCUGAUCCAGCAAUGCCGCGUGCAGGAUGAAGGCCUUCGGGUUGUAAACUGCUUUUGUACGGAACGAAACGGUUCUCUUUAAUAAAGAGGGCUAAUGACGGUACCGUAAGAAUAAGCACCGGCUAACUACGU
This 482-nucleotide ribosomal RNA is filed under the name uncultured bacterium. RNAcentral's name for it is "bacterial SSU rRNA". It matches the Rfam family "Bacterial small subunit ribosomal RNA", at positions 30 to 506 of the family's 1533-position model. The record is from RNAcentral.